GCAAGCAGCAAGGCAAUGCCAGCAAUCGAACCCUUAAACUUGAAGGUCUAAUCAUCUGUGUUAUCGCUACUCGAUUAUAUACUACUAGUUUGUGGUUUGAGCUGUUUUUAAAAAAAAUUAGUACUACUUCAAAUUUUGAAUACCCACCUUCUAAAUUCUGGGCCCGCCACUGCGCCGAGCAGAGGCAGGCUCUCCGAGACGUAGGACCCGGCGGGAGGAGAAGACGCGGGUGCUCGCGCGCUCCGCUUCCGAGCGGCGCUCUGGCUCGGCGACGCGUAGGUCCACGCUACGGCCGGCGCCCGGGGCCGAGCACGGGCCUGCGGCAUGGUGGGGAAGCGGCGGCGGGGAGGCCGGAGAUAGGGAUGAGGAGGAGAGAGAAAUUGGGACCGGUGGAUGGAUGAGUUUUGGGUCUGUAGCUGCAUACGCUGUUGGAGACGGGUAAUUUUGAGUCACGUGCAUUUUCACUGUACAUCACCCAAACCAGCAAUUGCCUAUCGUGUUUGCCUUGCGUCCGUUGGAGAUAGUCUUUAUUUGGAACCAAACAGGGCCUAAACAAUCAGCUGCCCGGUGAGAAACAGUAAUUGAUCAAUGUACUCAUUAAAUUAGCAAGAUCCGACUGAUUUGCAAAAUCCUACCUGGCCUCUUUCUUGAUGACCACCACGAAGGCCAUCACUCGGGAGGCUCCGAUCCUUUUCAGAUUAUGUUUUGAACCGGUUAAGACUAAUUAUUAGCUUGAGCUAAAAGUUAACUAGUUAAAGAUUAGCCAAUAUUAGCUAGUAUUAGCCAAUAGAUGCAUAUUUAUCACUAAUAAUGAACUAGUAUUAGCUAGUUAUAUAUCACCACUAAUGUGGAGACCGUUGGUCCCUGUCGAUCCUCGUUUUCUUCUUGCCCUUCCUAGUUCCUUUUUUAGAAAAAGGAACUUCAUUCCAACCUUCACAUCCAGCAAACAUAUGACAAAACCCACAACUCCACAAAGCGGUAAACCAUAACGAAACAAGAUCCCCAUGCAGGUGCAGGCGAACCUAAAAAGUUCCUUAGCGUGGUCAUUCUUUUCUGUGAUAUAUGUCGCGUGCCUCCAUAUUAUUUUUUUGUGCAUUGAAUAUUUUUUAAUUGCCGCUCCUAUUCUUUUUUUAAUAAAAUCUUCACCCCACCGCCUUUGGACUGCUCCUGGCUAGAUCCAACCAUGGGCAGACCAGAUCCACCGGCCAAGGGGAUGGUAGAUAGACUACCCUCGAGCCGCCAAUAAGGCAAAUAGAGGAGCAAUAUUUAUGAUGGAGGCACGAGUUGUCAUGGGGAGGUGAAGCGUUACAUCAACAUCUUUCAAACAAAACACAUAAGCCACCUCAAAAUAUUUCAAACGAACAAAGAUGACAUUAAGAUUCAGAUAAGAUAAAAGGUGCUUGGCCUUGUGUUUGACAAAUAAAAGCGCGGAUACACAUGCAUAUGCAAAAACCCAAAUAAAACGAUAAAGCCCUUGUGCUCUUGUUAUUCAAUUUCUUGCAUAAGCCAUUACAUGGUAUGGUCCUUGUGAUGCAUUCAUCCCUAGAGGACCAACUAUUCUCAUUCACAUCACUCAUCACACUCGGUUGCCAUGGUUGAUUGUAGCAUCUGCAGGCGGCGGCGGCGGCUCAUCAUCGGAGCUCCCAUCGCUGGGUCCAGAGGGCGGUAUGAUCUUGUACGGCAACAAAUUCCCAACCACACCAUGUGAUGUCGACGGAGACAACACAUCCAAAUAAGGGCGUGCAUCCGCCCUUGUUGUCAGGAGCGUCGUCGCUAGUAGUACCAAUACCACCACCAUGCUCGCUCCGCCGGCGGUAGUGUUCUUGUUGCUAGUCAUGGCUUUGGUUUUUUUUCUUCUCCUUUUCAGUAUUUUUGUAUAGGAGAGUGUAAUGUGGUGGGUACAAGUUUGGGCUAAUAACAUAUUUAUAGAUAUAGUUGAGCCGAGACUAGAUCGAUUUCUCUUGUGGAGAGAAAAUAAAUAUGGAAGACUUUUAAUGCA
Molecule: long non-coding RNA, 1999 nt
Organism: Panicum virgatum (switchgrass)
Lineage: Eukaryota; Viridiplantae; Streptophyta; Magnoliopsida; Poales; Poaceae
Exons: 2
Source: RefSeq, a predicted model, not a curated record